RNAcentral lists this ribosomal RNA (497 nucleotides) under uncultured bacterium. RNAcentral describes it as "partial 16S ribosomal RNA". It matches the Rfam family "Bacterial small subunit ribosomal RNA", at positions 28 to 507 of the family's 1533-position model. The record is from RNAcentral.
GACGAACGCUGGCGGCGUGCCUAAUACAUGCAAGUUGAGCGAUGAAGAUUGGUGCUUGCACCAAUUUGAAGAGCAGCGAACGGGUGAGUAACGCGUGGGGAAUCUGCCUUUGAGCGGGGGACAACAUUUGGAAACGAAUGCUAAUACCGCAUAACAACUUUAAACAUAAGUUUUAAGUUUGAAAGAUGCAAUUGCAUCACUCAAAGAUGAUCCCGCGUUGUAUUAGCUAGUUGGUGAGGUAAAGGCUCACCAAGGCGAUGAUACAUAGCCGACCUGAGAGGGUGAUCGGCCACAUUGGGACUGAGACACGGCCCAAACUCCUACGGGAGGCAGCAGUAGGGAAGCUUCGGCAAUGGACGAAAGUCUGACCGAGCAACGCCGCGUGAGUGAAGAAGGUUUUCGGAUCGUAAAACUCUGUUGGUAGAGAAGAACGUUGGUGAGAGUGGAAAGCUCAUCAAGUGACGGUAACUACCCAGAAAGGGACGGCUAACUACGUG